AAGUCGUAACAAGGUUUCCGUAGGUGAACCUGCGGAAGGAUCAUUAAUUAAAUUUACACAAUUUUUUUGUUUUCUUUUGAAUUCAGAAGGAAAUUAAAAAAAAAUUGGGUUAACCACUUUGUGCAAAAAAUGUAGAAAGAUCUGAUCUUUCUAUUUUAAUCACUUAAAAUCUUUAAAUUAUAACUAAAAAAACAACUUUUGACAACGGAUCUCUUGGCUCUC
This 222-nucleotide unclassified non-coding RNA is filed under the name fungal sp. Its description in RNAcentral is "partial internal transcribed spacer region". The stretch from base 1 to 46 matches the Rfam family "Eukaryotic small subunit ribosomal RNA", at positions 1786 to 1831 of the family's 1831-position model. The record is from RNAcentral. Lineage: Eukaryota; Fungi.